Macaca fascicularis (crab-eating macaque) is the source of this 148-nucleotide unclassified non-coding RNA. It matches the Rfam family "Metazoan signal recognition particle RNA". Rfam says of the family: The signal recognition particle (SRP) is a universally conserved ribonucleoprotein. Lineage: Eukaryota; Metazoa; Chordata; Mammalia; Primates; Cercopithecidae. The record is from Ensembl.
GCCGGGCAUGGUGGUGCAUGCCUGUAAUCCCAGCUACUCGGAGGCUGAGGCAGGAGAAUCGCUUGAGCCUGGGAGGCAGAGUUUGCAGUGAGCCGAGAUUGUGUCACUGCACUCCAGCUUGGGCAAUAAGAGCGAAACUCUGUCUCAG